GACGAACGCUGGCGGCGUGCCUAAUACAUGCAAGUCGAACGCACUCUCGUUUAGAUUGAAGGAGCUUGCUCCUGAUUGAUAAACAUUUGAGUGAGUGGCGGACGGGUGAGUAACACGUGGGUAACCUGCCCUAAAGUGGGGGAUAACAUUUGGAAACAGAUGCUAAUACCGCAUAAAACCUAACACCGCAUGGUGUAGGGUUGAAAGAUGGUUUCGGCUAUCACUUUAGGAUGGACCCGCGGUGCAUUAGUUAGUUGGUGAGGUAAAGGCUCACCAAGACCGUGAUGCAUAGCCGACCUGAGAGGGUAAUCGGCCACACUGGGACUGAGACACGGCCCAGACUCCUACGGAGGCAGCAGUAGGGAAUCUUCCACAAUGGACGAAAGUCUGAUGGAGCAACGCCGCGUGAGUGAAGAAGGUUUCGGAUCGUAAAACUCUAGUUGUUGGAGAGAAAUGUAUCUGAUAGUAACUGAUCAGGUAGUGACGGUAUCC
This 492-nucleotide ribosomal RNA is filed under the name uncultured bacterium. RNAcentral's name for it is "bacterial SSU rRNA". It matches the Rfam family "Bacterial small subunit ribosomal RNA", at positions 28 to 480 of the family's 1533-position model. The record is from RNAcentral.